CAGUCUGGUCCUUUUCAUAGCUCCAGAGGAUUUUUAGGAGCAUGGGGAGCAUGGGAUGCAUGGACCUGUGGACCCACAAAACCCUCUGGAGAAUGCUGGCUGUGGAUAAAAGCAUCUGGAAGUUUCUACCAUCUUUUUACCCUUUUUUUCCCUGGGUCACCCUGUGUCAUUUGUGGCCCAGUCCUGAGGAUUACAGCAUACAGUCACUUACUGGAAUACCUCCCCAUGAUCUUCUUGAAAUGGAGCCACUGCUUUACCCAGCUGGAAGAUGUUUUCUGUUCUCCCAGAGCUUUUCCAGUGCAGCAACAACACUCCUGUCCAGGUCUGGAUUGACUGCAGAAAGCAGAAGGGAGGAGCGUGUCAAAGGGAGGUCAGAUCCUGCCAGGGUUUCCUGGGAAAUGAGGUGUAUCCACUGUUUGGAUGAUGAAACUUGAUGAGCUGCAAUUGGGCUUGGAUUAUAGUACUUCAGAAGACUUUCUGAACUUGCCAGGCAACCCUCCCUCUAGACUUUGGGGACAGAGGAGCUUAAAUUUAUAUUUCCAGUGUCACACAAGGAGAUAGAAUGGAGUUGGCUGCUUUGCACAAGUAAUGAAAAUCAAUGCUGUGUUGCUGUUGGAAGGAGUGCUCAAAAGGACAAAAGCCUGGCAUAUACAUCUUGGUUUAGAGACAGAUUUUACCUGGGAAGAGUGUGCCCAGGGGAAGAUACAAGAAGGCGAAGAGGUGAUGCUACAAGCCAGCUUCCUGACCUCCAGAGUGGGACUGAAGCUUUGUAACAAGAUUUUCUAAGUAUGGAAGCUCUCCUGAGGAGCUGUAUUAUGCGCUGCUGCCCCUGGGAUGGGAUGCAGAGCAAGGAGUGAAGAAGAGCUGCGAUGUGCCACUGCUUUUGUGAGGAGAGGGGCUUUCUGGCACGUCAUAUGGUGCCAAAAGACA
This is a long non-coding RNA of Pyrgilauda ruficollis (rufous-necked snowfinch), 930 nucleotides long. RefSeq lists it as uncharacterized. The transcript has 4 exons. The record is from RefSeq and is a predicted model, not a curated record. NCBI's taxonomy places the organism in Eukaryota, Metazoa, Chordata, Aves, Passeriformes, Passeridae.